This 820-nucleotide ribosomal RNA is filed under the name uncultured bacterium. Its description in RNAcentral is "bacterial SSU rRNA". It matches the Rfam family "Bacterial small subunit ribosomal RNA", at positions 8 to 796 of the family's 1533-position model. The record is from RNAcentral.
AGAGUUUGAUCAUGGCUCAGGACGAACGCUGGCGGCGUGCUAAUACAUGCAAGUCGAGCGAGCGGAACCAACAGAUUUACUUCGGUAAUGACGUUGGGAAAGCGAGCGGCGGAUGGGUGAGUAACACGUGGGGAACCUGCCCCUAAGUCUGGGAUACCAUUUGGAAACAGGUGCUAAUACCGGAUAAUAAAGCAGAUCGCAUGAUCAGCUUUUGAAAGGCGGCGUAAGCUGUCGCUAAGGGAUGGCCCCGCGGUGCAUUAGCUAGUUGGUAAGGUAACGGCUUACCAAGGCGACGAUGCAUAGCCGAGUUGAGAGACUGAUCGGCCACAUUGGGACUGAGACACGGCCCAAACUCCUACGGGAGGCAGCAGUAGGGAAUCUUCCACAAUGGACGCAAGUCUGAUGGAGCAACGCCGCGUGAGUGAAGAAGGUUUUCGGAUCGUAAAGCUCUGUUGUUGGUGAAGAAGGAUAGAGGUAGUAACUGGCCUUUAUUUGACGGUAAUCAACCAGAAAGUCACGGCUAACUACGUGCCAGCAGCCGCGGUAAUACGUAGGUGGCAAGCGUUGUCCGGAUUUAUUGGGCGUAAAGCGAGCGCAGGCGGAAAAAUAAGUCUAAUGUGAAAGCCCUCGGCUUAACCGAGGAACUGCAUCGGAAACUGUUUUUCUUGAGUGCAGAAGAGGAGAGUGGAACUCCAUGUGUAGCGGUGGAAUGCGUAGAUAUAUGGAAGAACACCAGUGGCGAAGGCGGCUCUCUGGUCUGCAACUGACGCUGAGGCUCGAAAGCAUGGGUAGCGAACAGGAUUAGAUACCCUGGUAGUCC